This 235-nucleotide ribosomal RNA is filed under the name Bacillota bacterium. Its description in RNAcentral is "partial 23S ribosomal RNA". It matches the Rfam family "Bacterial large subunit ribosomal RNA", at positions 2695 to 2925 of the family's 2925-position model. Lineage: Bacteria; Bacillati; Bacillota. The record is from RNAcentral.
GAAUGGACGUACCUCUGGUGUAUCUGUUGUCACGCCAGUGGCAGUGCAGAGUAGCUAUGUACGGAAUGGAUAACCGCUGAAAGCAUCUAAGCGGGAAGCCAACUCCAAGAUGAGUUUUCCCAUUUUUUAUAAAUGUAAGUUCCCUCUAAGACUAAGAGGUUGAUAGGCCAGAGGUGGAAGCAUGGCAACAUGUUGAGCUGACUGGUACUAAUAGAACGAGGAUUUAAUCCCAUUU